Molecule: long non-coding RNA, 342 nt
Filed under: Elaeis guineensis (African oil palm)
Lineage: Eukaryota; Viridiplantae; Streptophyta; Magnoliopsida; Arecales; Arecaceae
Description: long non-coding RNA (EGUI_LNC022803)
Source: RNAcentral
GCGUAGAGAUUUGUUAUCCAUUCGAAUUCAAACAUCUUUUGAAUUUGAAUGGCCAACCAAUCUCAUCCUUAUCCAUUCAAAAUGGUGCACAAAGAAGGGGUGUGAGAUGGCUUCUACAUGGGAGAAAAUUCAUGAGAAGUUGUUUCUCAUGAAUUCAAAUGGGCGCAGAUGAGUGAGGUGGCACAGAGAGAGAAAUCUAGGUGGUUUGAAAUCCAAUUGAACCAACCUUAUUUAAAAUAGAUUAGACACAAUUAGACUAAAUUAAACCCAACACAAUUAAGCUUAAUUAGGCUCAAUAAAAUCUUAAUCAAAUCAAAAAUUGACUAAGCCCAACCUCUGAUC